This 49-nucleotide ribosomal RNA is filed under the name Besnoitia akodoni. RNAcentral's name for it is "partial 5.8S ribosomal RNA". The record is from RNAcentral. Lineage: Eukaryota; Apicomplexa; Conoidasida; Eucoccidiorida; Sarcocystidae.
UAUUUCAAAUUUUCAGCAAUGGAUGUCUUGGCUCGCGCAACGAUGAAGG